GGUGGGGUUCCCGAGCGGCCAAAGGGAGCAGACUGUAAAUCUGCCGUCAUCGACUUCGAAGGUUCGAAUACUUCCCCCACCACCA
RNAcentral lists this transfer RNA (85 nucleotides) under Escherichia coli. RNAcentral's name for it is "tRNA-Tyr". It matches the Rfam family "tRNA". Rfam says of the family: Transfer RNA (tRNA) molecules are approximately 80 nucleotides in length. Their secondary structure includes four short double-helical elements and three loops (D, anti-codon, and T loops). The record is from RNAcentral. Lineage: Bacteria; Pseudomonadati; Pseudomonadota; Gammaproteobacteria; Enterobacterales; Enterobacteriaceae. RNAcentral also lists the same sequence under 1 other name.